GUGACUGCGUACCUUUUGUAUAAUGGGUCAGCGACUUAUAUUCUGUAGCAAGGUUAACCGAAUAGGGGAGCCGGAGGGAAACCGAGUCUUAAUUGGGCGUUAAGUUGCAGGGUAUAGACCCGAAACCCGGUGAUCUAGCCAUGGGCAGGUUGAAGGUUGGGUAACACUAACUGGAGGACCGAACCGACUAAUGUUGAAAAAUUAGCGGAUGACCUGUGGCUGGGGGUGAAAGGCCAAUCAAACCGGGAGAUAGCUGGUUCUCCCCGAAAGCUAUUUAGGUAGCGCCUCGUGAAUUCAUCUCCGGGGGUAGAGCACUGUUUCGGCUAGGGGGCCAUCCCGGCUUACCAACCCGAUGCAAACUGCGAAUACCGGAGAAUGUUAUCACGGGAGACACACGGCGGGUGCUAACGUCCGUCGUGAAGAGGGAAACAACCCAGACCGCCAGCUAAGGUCCCAAAGUCAUGGUUAAGUGGGAAACGAUGUGGGAAGGCCCAGACAGCCAGGAUGUUGGCUUAGAAGCAGCCAUCAUUUAAAGAAAGCGUAAUAGCUCACUGGUCGAGUCGGCCUGCGCGGAAGAUGUAACGGGGCUAAACCAUGCACCGAAGCUGCGGCAGCGACGUUUAUGCGUUGUUGGGUAGGGGAGCGUUCUGUAAGCCUGCGAAGGUGGCCUGUGAGGGUUGCUGGAGGUAUCAGAAGUGCGAAUGCUGACAUAAGUAACGAUAAAGCGGGUGAAAAGCCCGCUCGCCGGAAGACCAAGGGUUCCUGUCCAACGUUAAUCGGGGCAGGGUGAGUCGACCCCUAAGGCGAGGCCGAAAGGCGUAGUCGAUGGGAAACGGGUUAAUAUUCCCGUACUUGGUGUUACUGCGAAGGGGGGACGGAGAAGGCUAUGUUGGCCGGGCGACGGUUGUCCCGGUUUAAGCGUGUAGGUGUGUGUUCCAGGUAAAUCCGGUUCACUUUAACACUGAGGCGUGAUGACGAGGCACUACGGUGCUGAAGCAACAAAUGCCCUGCUUCCAGGAAAAGCCUCUAAGCAUCAGGUAACAUCAAAUCGUACCCCAAACCGACACAGGUGGUCAGGUAGAGAAUACCAAGGCGCUUGAGAGAACUCGGGUGAAGGAACUAGGCAAAAUGGUGCCGUAACUUCGGGAGAAGGCACGCUGACACGUAGGUGAAGUGAUUUACUCAUGGAGCUGAAGUCAGUCGAAGAUACCAGCUGGCUGCAACUGUUUAUUAAAAACACAGCACUGUGCAAACACGAAAGUGGACGUAUACGGUGUGACGCCUGCCCGGUGCCGGAAGGUUAAUUGAUGGGGUCAGCGCAAGCGAAGCUCCUGAUCGAAGCCCCGGUAAACGGCGGCCGUAACUAUAACGGUCCUAAGGUAGCGAAAUUCCUUGUCGGGUAAGUUCCGACCUGCACGAAUGGCGUAAUGAUGGCCAGGCUGUCUCCACCCGAGACUCAGUGAAAUUGAACUCGCUGUGAAGAUGCAGUGUACCCGCGGCAAGACGGAAAGACCCCGUGAACCUUUACUAUAGCUUGACACUGAACAUUGAGCCUUGAUGUGUAGGAUAGGUGGGAGGCUUUGAAGUGUGGACGCCAGUCUGCAUGGAGCCGACCUUGAAAUACCACCCUUUAAUGUUUGAUGUUCUAACGUGGACCCGUUACCCGGGUUGCGGACAGUGUCUGGUGGGUAGUUUGACUGGGGCGGUCUCCUCCUAAAGAGUAACGGAGGAGCACGAAGGUUGGCUAAUCCUGGUCGGACAUCAGGAGGUUAGUGCAAUGGCAUAAGCCAGCUUGACUGCGAGCGUGACGGCGCGAGCAGGUGCGAAAGCAGGUCAUAGUGAUCCGGUGGUUCUGAAUGGAAGGGCCAUCGCUCAACGGAUAAAAGGUACUCCGGGGAUAACAGGCUGAUACCGCCCAAGAGUUCAUAUCGACGGCGGUGUUUGGCACCUCGAUGUCGGCUCAUCACAUCCUGGGGCUGAAGUAGGUCCCAAGGGUAUGGCUGUUCGCCAUUUAAAGUGGUACGCGAGCUGGGUUUAGAACGUCGUGAGACAGUUCGGUCCCUAUCUGCCGUGGGCGCUGGAGAACUGAGGGGGGCUGCUCCUAGUACGAGAGGACCGGAGUGGACGCAUCACUGGUGUUCGGGUUGUCAUGCCAAUGGCACUGCCCGGUAGCUAAAUGCGGAAGAGAUAAGUGCUGAAAGCAUCUAAGCACGAAACUUGCCCCGAGAUGAGUUCUCCCUGAGACUU
RNAcentral lists this ribosomal RNA (2247 nucleotides) under Salmonella enterica subsp. enterica serovar Hindmarsh. RNAcentral's name for it is "bacterial LSU rRNA". It matches the Rfam family "Bacterial large subunit ribosomal RNA", at positions 593 to 2823 of the family's 2925-position model. The record is from RNAcentral. Lineage: Bacteria; Pseudomonadati; Pseudomonadota; Gammaproteobacteria; Enterobacterales; Enterobacteriaceae.